This 911-nucleotide ribosomal RNA is filed under the name uncultured Rahnella sp. RNAcentral's name for it is "bacterial SSU rRNA". It matches the Rfam family "Bacterial small subunit ribosomal RNA", at positions 100 to 1007 of the family's 1533-position model. Lineage: Bacteria; Pseudomonadati; Pseudomonadota; Gammaproteobacteria; Enterobacterales; Yersiniaceae. The record is from RNAcentral.
GACGGGUGAGUAAUGUCUGGGAAACUGCCUGAUGGAGGGGGAUAACUACUGGAAACGGUAGCUAAUACCGCAUGACCUCGAAAGAGCAAAGUGGGGGAUCUUCGGACCUCACGCCAUCGGAUGUGCCCAGAUGGGAUUAGCUAGUAGGUGAGGUAAUGGCUCACCUAGGCGACGAUCCCUAGCUGGUCUGAGAGGAUGACCAGCCACACUGGAACUGAGACACGGUCCAGACUCCUACGGGAGGCAGCAGUGGGGAAUAUUGCACAAUGGGCGCAAGCCUGAUGCAGCCGUGCCGCGUGUGUGAAGAAAGCCCUUAGGGUUGUAAAGCACUUUCAGCGAGGAGGAAGGCAUCACACGUAAUACGUGUGGUGAUUGACGUUACUCGCAGAAGAAGCACCGGCUAACUCCGUGCCAGCAGCCGCGGUAAUACGGAGGGUGCAAGCGUUAAUCGGAAUUACUGGGCGUAAAGCGCACGCAGGCGGUUUGUUAAGUCAGAUGUGAAAUCCCCGCGCUUAACGUGGGAACUGCAUUUGAAACUGGCAAGCUAGAGUCUUGUAGAGGGGGGUAGAAUUCCAGGUGUAGCGGUGAAAUGCGUAGUGAUCUGGAGGAAUACCGGUGGCGAAGGCGGCCCCCUGGACAAAGACUGACGCUCAGGUGCGAAAGCGCGGGGAGCAAACAGGAUUAGAUACCCUGGUAGUCCACGCUGUAAACGAUGUCGACUUGGAGGUUGUGCCCUUGAGGCGUGGCUUCCGGAGCUAACGCGUUAAGUCGACCGCCUGGGGAGUACGGCCGCAAGGUUAAAGCUCAAAUGAAUUGACGGGGGCCCGCACAAGCGGUGGAGCAUGUGGUUUAAUUCGAUGCAACGCGAAGAACCUUACCUACUCUUGACAUCCACGGAAUUCGCCAGAGAU